Molecule: transfer RNA, 59 nt
Filed under: Ictidomys tridecemlineatus (thirteen-lined ground squirrel)
Lineage: Eukaryota; Metazoa; Chordata; Mammalia; Rodentia; Sciuridae
Description: Spermophilus tridecemlineatus (thirteen-lined ground squirrel) tRNA
Rfam family: tRNA
About the family: Transfer RNA (tRNA) molecules are approximately 80 nucleotides in length. Their secondary structure includes four short double-helical elements and three loops (D, anti-codon, and T loops).
Source: Rfam by way of RNAcentral
UGGCUCAGCUGGUAAGAGUGACUGCCUUGCAUGCACAAGACCCUGGGUUCAAACCCCAG